GCAGUUGUGGCCUAAUGGUUCGAGCGUCGGACUUGUAACCCGAAGGUGAACCCGAAGGUUCGAGUCUCGGGUCCGGCA
Pangasius djambal is the source of this 78-nucleotide non-coding RNA. The record is from the annotation of a GenBank genome assembly. NCBI's taxonomy places the organism in Eukaryota, Metazoa, Chordata, Actinopteri, Siluriformes, Pangasiidae.